GGCAACUGUGUCAAAUUCAGUGCCUUCCACACCCAUGGCUGGCACUAGCCGAAAAGGCUGCCCCAGAGACACUAUAACUCAUGGGCCCUGUUCAUCUCUGCUGAGCCUCAGGGAUAAAUUUUGUUAUAGACAUUU
Molecule: small nucleolar RNA, 135 nt
Organism: Echinops telfairi (small Madagascar hedgehog)
Lineage: Eukaryota; Metazoa; Chordata; Mammalia; Afrosoricida; Tenrecidae
Product: small nucleolar RNA SNORA5
Exons: 1
Source: RefSeq, a predicted model, not a curated record